CCAAUAGCGUAUAUUAAAGUUGUUGCAGUUAAAAAGCUCGUAGUUGAAUUUCGGGGUUAGUAGUUUGGUCGUGCCAAUGGUAUGUACUGGGCUCACUGAUUCCUCCUUCCUGAUGAACUGUAAUGCCAUUAAUUUGGUGUUGCAGGGAAACUGGACUGUUACUUUGAAAAAAUUAGAGUGUUUAAAGCAAGCUAACGCUUGAAUACAUUAGCAUGGAAUAAUGAAAUAGGACGUUCGAACCUAUUUUGUUGGUUUCUAGGAUUGACGUAAUGAUUAAUAGGGAUAGUUGGGGGCAUUAGUAUUCAAUUGUCAGAGGUGAAAUUCUUGGAUUUAUUGAAGACUAACUACUGCGAAAGCAUUUGCCAAGGAUGUUUUCAUUAAUCAAGAACGAAAGUUAGGGGAUCGAAGACGAUCAGAUACCGUCGUAGUCUUAACCAUAAACUAUGCCGACUAGGGAUCGGAUGAUGUUAAUUUUUUAAUGACUCAUUCGGCGCCUUACG
RNAcentral lists this ribosomal RNA (500 nucleotides) under uncultured Glomus. Its description in RNAcentral is "SSU rRNA". It matches the Rfam family "Eukaryotic small subunit ribosomal RNA", at positions 591 to 1092 of the family's 1831-position model. Lineage: Eukaryota; Fungi; Glomeromycota; Glomeromycetes; Glomerales; Glomeraceae. The record is from RNAcentral.